GACGUAGGGGGCGAGCGUUGUCCGGAUUUAUUGGGCGUAAAGCGCGCGCAGGCGGCCGUGCAAGUCGGAUGUGAAAACACGAGGCUCAACCUCGUGCCUGCAUUCGAUACUGCUCGGCUCGAGACAGGUAGGGGAGAUCGGAAUUCCCGGUGUAGCGGUGAAAUGCGCAGAUAUCGGGAGGAACACCGGUGGCGAAGGCGGAUCUCUGGGCCUGUUCUGACGCUCAGGCGCGAAAGCUAGGGGAGCGAACAGG
RNAcentral lists this ribosomal RNA (253 nucleotides) under uncultured bacterium. RNAcentral describes it as "partial 16S ribosomal RNA". It matches the Rfam family "Bacterial small subunit ribosomal RNA", at positions 524 to 776 of the family's 1533-position model. The record is from RNAcentral.